GUGGGGAAUAUUGGACAAUGGGCGCAAGCCUGAUCCAGCCAUGCCGCGUGUGUGAAGAAGGCCUUUUGGUUGUAAAGCACUUUAAGCGAGGAGGAGGCUCCUUUAGUUAAUACCUAAAGAGAGUGGACGUUACUCGCAGAAUAAGCACCGGCUAACUCUGUGCCAGCAGCCGCGGUAAUACAGAGGGUGCAAGCGUUAAUCGGAUUUACUGGGCGUAAAGCGCGCGUAGGUGGCCAAUUAAGUCAAAUGUGAAAUCCCCGAGCUUAACUUGGGAAUUGCAUUCGAUACUGGUUGGCUAGAGUAUGGGAGAGGAUGGUAGAAUUCCAGGUGUAGCGGUGAAAUGCGUAGAGAUCUGGAGGAAUACCGAUGGCGAAGGCAGCCAUCUGGCCUAAUACUGACACUGAGGUGCGAAAGCAUGGGGAGCAAACAGGAUUAGAAACCCGAGUAGUCC
This 451-nucleotide ribosomal RNA is filed under the name uncultured bacterium. RNAcentral's name for it is "partial 16S ribosomal RNA". It matches the Rfam family "Bacterial small subunit ribosomal RNA", at positions 354 to 796 of the family's 1533-position model. The record is from RNAcentral.